CAUGCAAGUCGAGCGGAAGGCCCUUCGGGGUACUCGAGCGGCGAACGGGUGAGUAACACGUGAGUAAUCUGCCCCAGGCUCUGGGAUAGCCACCGGAAACGGUGAUUAAUACCGGAUACGACAACCGAUUGCAUGAUCUGGUUGUGGAAAGUUUUUCGGCCUGGGAUGUGCUCGCGGCCUAUCAGCUUGUUGGUGAGGUAAUGGCUCACCAAGGCUUCGACGGGUAGCCGGCCUGAGAGGGUGACCGGCCACACUGGGACUGAGACACGGCCCAGACUCCUACGGGAGGCAGCAGUGGGGAAUAUUGGACAAUGGGCGGAAGCCUGAUCCAGCAACGCCGCGUGAGGGAUGACGGCCUUCGGGUUGUAAACCUCUUUCAGCACAGACGAAGCGCAAGUGACGGUAUGUGCAGAAGAAGGACCGGCCAACUACGUGCCAGCAGCCGCGGUAAUACGUAGGGUCCGAGCGUUGUCCGGAAUUAUUGGGCGUAAAGGGCUCGUAGGCGGUCUGUCGCGUCGGGAGUGAAAACCAGGUGCUUAACACCUGGCCUGCUUUCGAUACGGGCAGACUAGAGGUACUCAGGGGAGAAUGGAAUUCCUGGUGUAGCGGUGAAAUGCGCAGAUAUCAGGAGGAACACCGGUGGCGAAGGCGGUUCUCUGGGAGUAUCCUGACGCUGAGGAGCGAAAGUGUGGGGAGCGAACAGGAUUAGAUACCCUGGUAGUCCACACCGUAAACGUUGGGCGCUAGGUGUGGGACACAUU
RNAcentral lists this ribosomal RNA (761 nucleotides) under Nocardioides sp. YIM 48824. RNAcentral describes it as "bacterial SSU rRNA". It matches the Rfam family "Bacterial small subunit ribosomal RNA", at positions 54 to 833 of the family's 1533-position model. The record is from RNAcentral. Lineage: Bacteria; Bacillati; Actinomycetota; Actinomycetes; Propionibacteriales; Nocardioidaceae.